This 466-nucleotide ribosomal RNA is filed under the name uncultured bacterium. RNAcentral's name for it is "partial 16S ribosomal RNA". It matches the Rfam family "Bacterial small subunit ribosomal RNA", at positions 28 to 507 of the family's 1533-position model. The record is from RNAcentral.
GAUGAACGCUGGCGGCGUGCUUAACACAUGCAAGUCGAACGAUGAAGCCCAGCUUGCUGGGUGGAUUAGUGGCGAACGGGUGAGUAACACGUGAGUAACCUGCCCUUAACUCUGGGAUAAGCCUGGGAAACUGGGUCUAAUACCGGAUAGGAGCGUCCACCGCAUGGUGGGUGUUGGAAAGAUUUAUCGGUUUUGGAUGGACUCGCGGCCUAUCAGCUUGUUGGUGAGGUAAUGGCUCACCAAGGCGACGACGGGUAGCCGGCCUGAGAGGGUGACCGGCCACACUGGGACUGAGACACGGCCCAGACUCCUACGGGAGGCAGCAGUGGGGAAUAUUGCACAAUGGGCGCAAGCCUGAUGCAGCGACGCCGCGUGAGGGAUGACGGCCUUCGGGUUGUAAACCUCUUUCAGUAGGGAAGAAGCGAAAGUGACUGUACCUGCAGAAGAAGCACCGGCUAACUACAUG